GCCGGGAUGGCAGAGUGGACCAAUGCGCAGGCCUUGAGAGCCUGUCACUCCUCAGCGGGUGGCGUGGGUUCAAAUCCCACUCCCGGCG
RNAcentral lists this transfer RNA (88 nucleotides) under Nitrososphaeria archaeon. RNAcentral's name for it is "tRNA-Ser". It matches the Rfam family "tRNA". Rfam says of the family: Transfer RNA (tRNA) molecules are approximately 80 nucleotides in length. Their secondary structure includes four short double-helical elements and three loops (D, anti-codon, and T loops). Lineage: Archaea; Thermoproteati; Nitrososphaerota; Nitrososphaeria. The record is from RNAcentral.